Molecule: transfer RNA, 56 nt
Filed under: Bufoniceps laungwalaensis
Lineage: Eukaryota; Metazoa; Chordata; Lepidosauria; Squamata; Agamidae
Description: tRNA-Cys
Source: RNAcentral
AGGCCUAAGCAACGCCAAAGUGCAAAUUUGGCUUAGAAAUGAUUUUCAUAGGCCUA